RNAcentral lists this ribosomal RNA (454 nucleotides) under uncultured eukaryote. Its description in RNAcentral is "SSU rRNA". It matches the Rfam family "Eukaryotic small subunit ribosomal RNA", at positions 65 to 526 of the family's 1831-position model. The record is from RNAcentral.
UCAUAAAACUGUUUGUUGAAACUGCGAAUGGCUCAUUAUAACAGUUAUAGUUUAUUUGACGUUCUUGUACUACUUGGAUAACCGUAGUAAUUCUAGAGCUAAUACAUGCAUAAAAAUCUAACUUCGGAAGAUUGUAUUUAUUAGGUAUCAAACCAUCCUCAUUUGAGUAUAUGGUGAUUCAUGAUAUUGGAAUGGAUCAUACAGCUUUAAGCUGUUGACAAGUCAUAUAAGUUUCUGCCCUAUCAGCUUUGGAUGGUAGGGUAUUUGCCUACCAUGGCAUUCACGGGUAACGGGAGAUUAGGGUUUGACUCCGGAGAGGGAGCCUGAGAGACGGCUACCACAUCCAGGAAGGCAGCAGGCGCGUAAAUUAUCCAAUCCUAAUACAGGGAGGUAGUAACGAUGAAUAACAAUGUCGGGCCUUUUUCAGGUCUGACAAUUGGAAUGAAAACGAUGU